Molecule: ribosomal RNA, 445 nt
Filed under: uncultured bacterium
Lineage: Bacteria
Description: bacterial SSU rRNA
Rfam family: Bacterial small subunit ribosomal RNA
Source: RNAcentral
GAACGCUGGCGGCAUGCCUAACACAUGCAAGUCGAACGAACCUUCGGGUUAGUGGCGCACGGGUGAGUAACGCGUGGGAACUUGCCUAUCAGUACGGAAUAACGCCGGGAAACUGGUGCUAAUACCGUAUACGUCCUCAGGGAGAAAGAUUUAUCGCUGAUAGAUGGGCCCGCGUUAGAUUAGCUAGUUGGUGGGGUAAUGGCCUACCAAGGCGACGAUCUAUAGCUGGUCUGAGAGGAUGAUCAGCCACACUGGAACUGAGACACGGUCCAGACUCCUACGGGAGGCAGCAGUGGGGAAUAUUGGACAAUGGGGGAAACCCUGAUCCAGCAAUGCCGCGUGAGUGAAGAAGGCCUUAGGGUUGUAAAACUCUUUCGGCGGGGAAGAUGAUGACGGUACCCGCAGAAGAAGCCCCGGCUAACUCCGUGCCAGCAGCCGCGGUAAU